This 921-nucleotide long non-coding RNA is filed under the name Salmo salar (Atlantic salmon). RNAcentral describes it as "lncRNA (ENSSSAG00000120682.1)". The record is from RNAcentral. Lineage: Eukaryota; Metazoa; Chordata; Actinopteri; Salmoniformes; Salmonidae.
CUGCUCUGCCGCAGGCUGUCACUGCAGGGAAUCCAUGCCUCCCGGUCCUGGACCAUUCCACCGCCCGACCUUCAUUCUAUUUGUAUUUUUUAUUUAUUUUAUUUUUUACAAAUCAGGCUUCACCGUGGGACGCCUGAAAUUCUCCCCAGUACGAAAAGAAAAAAGCAAGCGAACGGAACCGCUGCUGAGUAUCCAAUGGAAAGCAGUGAAUCUUAGGUAACAGGAGGAAGUGCCUGGAGGACAUCUGUGACCCGAAGAGAAAUGACAGGUUGGGAGAUUGAGAACGCCGGCUGAUCCGAGGAUGUGAAGCCGUAACUGGGGGGCCCCAGGCACUCGGGCGUUAGGGCCAUUAUGGGAGGUCACUGUGGGAGGGAGGCAGCCCUUCAGUGGGAUUACCAAGAUUCCUGGAGAAAUUGAGCGGAAUUGGGGUCUGCGAUUCAGAUUCUCUCCUGUGUGUCAGAAGGAGUGUGUGUGUGUGUGUGAGGCACGUGUUCAUAAGAAUGGUGACAAACACACACGACAGGCAGGCAUGCAAGCACACACCACGCACGCAUGCACACACAAACAUAGAAAUGUAAAUGUGUUGAAAUGUAUUGCUGAAAAUUUGCUUAAUCUUGUCAACCUUGUUUGAGCAUUUAUUGUUAAAUCUGCUGAAAUGUUUUAGUUUAUUUAGACACCUACAUAUUAGCCCAUCAUGUUCAGACAAUGUUCAAUACUCAUGCAUUUUUCAUACUAACUAGGAGAACAGUACAGCAGCGGGGGUAUCCAUGUCAUUUGCCCUUGCCACCUCGAUACCAGUGUUUAAUUUGAGCCGGAUCCUCCCGGAAAAAGGAUCCGGCACACCUCCGCUUUGGACUGUUUCGUUCCAGAACCUAUUUGGCCAGAUCCGGUACCUCUCGUGGCAUGAAAAAUAAUUGUCAC